This is a small nuclear RNA of Cervus hanglu yarkandensis (Yarkand deer), 64 nucleotides long. Its record names the gene U7. It matches the Rfam family "U7 small nuclear RNA". From Rfam's summary of the family: Animal histone pre-mRNAs are spliced by a different mechanism than nuclear pre-mRNAs and self-splicing introns. This processing involves the U7 snRNP, which contains only one RNA species: U7. The record is from Ensembl. Lineage: Eukaryota; Metazoa; Chordata; Mammalia; Artiodactyla; Cervidae.
AAGUGUUACAGCUCUUUUAGAAUUUGUCUAGCAGGUUGUCCGGUUCGUACAGGAAAGCACCCCC